This 451-nucleotide ribosomal RNA is filed under the name uncultured bacterium. Its description in RNAcentral is "partial 16S ribosomal RNA". It matches the Rfam family "Bacterial small subunit ribosomal RNA", at positions 29 to 523 of the family's 1533-position model. The record is from RNAcentral.
AGCGAACGCUGGCGGCAGGCUUAACACAUGCAAGUCGAGCGGGCAUAGCAAUAUGUCAGCGGCAGACGGGUGAGUAACGCGUGGGAACGUACCUUUUGGUUCGGAACAACUGAGGGAAACUUCAGCUAAUACCGGAUAAGCCCUUACGGGGAAAGAUUUAUCGCCGAAAGAUCGGCCCGCGUCUGAUUAGCUAGUUGGUGAGGUAAUGGCUCACCAAGGCGACGAUCAGUAGCUGGUCUGAGAGGAUGAUCAGCCACAUUGGGACUGAGACACGGCCCAAACUCCUACGGGAGGCAGCAGUGGGGAAUAUUGGACAAUGGGCGCAAGCCUGAUCCAGCCAUGCCGCGUGAGUGAUGAAGGCCCUAGGGUUGUAAAGCUCUUUUGUGCGGGAAGAUAAUGACAGUACCGCAAAAAUAAGCCCCGGCUAACUUCGUGCCAGCCGCCGCCGUAA